Molecule: long non-coding RNA, 562 nt
Filed under: Mus musculus (house mouse)
Lineage: Eukaryota; Metazoa; Chordata; Mammalia; Rodentia; Muridae
Description: RIKEN cDNA 2500002B13 gene, transcript variant 2 (2500002B13Rik)
Source: RNAcentral
GCGGGACCAGCGGGACAAACUACUCAUCCCAGCAUGCGUCGCGUGGCGAGCCACCCCUAGUUUUUUUUUUUUUCCAUUCCAAGCACCGGGCAAGUCUGACUGUGAGGUCAGGCUUUUACCGUGUUUUCUCGCCUCUAUUCUCUCCUGCGAGCAAGGGCUGGUUUUAGCUCCUCUUGUUUCGCAAAGUUAGUGUUCAGACCGCCAGCUGACUCCUGGGAAGAAGCAUUAAUGGAAUUUCCUCCAGUAUUUUCAUAGCAACCUUCAGAUGAAAGUGUAGAACUCUCAGCUCCUCCUGCAUCAUGACUGCCUGGGGCUGCCAUGUUCCUGCCUUGAUGAUAAUGGACUGAACCUCUAAACCUGACUGGUUGUUCUAUUUCUGAGAUCUCUGAGACCCAGCCCACCAGGAACACACAAAUGUGGAACCGAGAUAGGCUGAGGACUUAUUAAACAGAAUUCUGCUGUUCCUAUCCCAGGGUUGGACCAAUGUGUAGAAAAUUGCUUAUGGGAUUCUUUGAAUGACUUUUUCAUUGCGGGAAAUAUUAAAAAUGAACCUGCCAACCUU